Non-coding RNA from Rattus norvegicus (Norway rat), 69 nucleotides. NCBI's taxonomy places the organism in Eukaryota, Metazoa, Chordata, Mammalia, Rodentia, Muridae. The record is from Rfam.
GGGGAUUUAGCUCAGUGGUAGAGCGCUUGCCUAGCAAAUGCAAGGCCCUGGGUUCGGUCCCCAGCUCCG